Camelus ferus (Wild Bactrian camel) is the source of this 73-nucleotide non-coding RNA. The record is from Rfam. NCBI's taxonomy places the organism in Eukaryota, Metazoa, Chordata, Mammalia, Artiodactyla, Camelidae.
GGAGAGUACAGCUCUGUGGUAGAGUGUAUGCUUAGUGUGCACGAGGUCCUGGGUUCAAUUCCCAGUAACUCCA